UUUUGUAACUGAACCAAGAACGACAAAGCUUUAUUUUCAAAAUUUAUAUUUUUUUUUACGAAAAUGUCUGUAACUACGAGAGGAUUGUUAUUUAUGAUGCGUAGUUUUAGUACAGCAGUUAAAGAUAUUCCUAAUCUUGUAAAGAAAAAUAAAGUAGUUGUGUUCAUGAAAGGAGUCCCAGAAGCACCGAAAUGUGGCUUCAGUAAUGCUGUUGUUCAAAUUUUUCGUAUGCAUGGGGUGAAAUAUGAUGCUUAUGAUGUACUAGCUGAUGAAGAACUUAGACAAGGUAUCAAAGAUUAUUCGAACUGGCCGACGAUACCACAAGUUUUUAUGAAUGGUGAGUUCGUAGGAGGAUGUGAUAUUUUACUUCAAAUGCAUCAAAACGGUGAUCUGAUAGAAGAGUUAAAAAAAGUUGGGAUAACGAGUGCCCUUCUGAAUAAAGAGACGGAUGGAGUUAAAAAUGAAUCAUCUUAAAAUACCAGAAGACAUACACAAUUAUCAAAAGCAAGAAGUAGUAUAUUAUUGUUGAUAAGGAAUAUCUGGAAGAUAAAAUUACAAGAAGGAUUGAAAAAUUAAAUUGAAGGAGUUAACGUUUCACGAAAAAUUAUUCAAGAGGAAAUUGUGAUCACUGAUUAUUUCUACACUGGUUUAAUGAAUGGAAUUAAUAAAAAUGCAUAUUGGAUUUAAUCGUACAAGAAAAGAUAUCGGAAAUGAUCAACCAGGUCUUUACAAGAUCGAAGGAUUCAUCGUAUCUUUGUGUAAAUAAAGAUAACUACAUCUGUUGCAAUAUACGUCGAAGAAUUUUUCCAGCUGGACUUUUAGGAAUUUUAUCGAUGAUAGCAACGUUGCCAAGAUUUUUAUAUUUAGCAACACGUUUUGCUACAAAUUCUUUCAACUCUUGUUCGUCGAUACGCAUAUUAGGUUUAGGAACGAUAAAGGCUUUGGGUAUUUCUCCGUAUCGUUCGUGUGGUACUCCAAUGACUGCUACGUCAGCAACUUUUUCAUGACCUAGAAUAACGUCUUCGAGUUCAGCAGGAGCUACCUGGUAGCCCUGAACCUUGAUCAGUUCUUUAAGUCGUCCUUUUAUGUACAGAAAACCUGAGUAAAGUUUUUUUAUUUUAAAUGAA
RNA transcript from Chelonus insularis, 1127 nucleotides. It is a transcript of the gene named Glutaredoxin 5, with no coding region annotated. The transcript has 6 exons. The record is from RefSeq and is a predicted model, not a curated record. Lineage: Eukaryota; Metazoa; Arthropoda; Insecta; Hymenoptera; Braconidae.